This 273-nucleotide ribosomal RNA is filed under the name uncultured bacterium. RNAcentral's name for it is "partial 16S ribosomal RNA". It matches the Rfam family "Bacterial small subunit ribosomal RNA", at positions 524 to 796 of the family's 1533-position model. The record is from RNAcentral.
GACGGAGGGUGCAAACGUUGUUCGGAUUUACUGGGCGUAAAGGGCGCGUAGGCGGCGUGACAAGUCACUUGUGAAAUCUCCGGGCUUAACUCGGAACUGCCAAGUGAUACUGUCGUGCUAGAGUGCAGAAAGGGCAAUCGGAAUUCUUGGUGUAGCGGUGAAAUGCGUAGAUAUCAAGAGGAACACCUGAGGCGAAGGCGGGUUGCUAGGCUGACACUGACGCUGAGGCGCGAAAGCUAGGGUAGCAAACGGGAUUAGAAACCCUAGUAGUCC